This 816-nucleotide long non-coding RNA is filed under the name Mus musculus (house mouse). Its description in RNAcentral is "long non-coding RNA chr11:20216483-20217299". The record is from RNAcentral. Lineage: Eukaryota; Metazoa; Chordata; Mammalia; Rodentia; Muridae.
GCCUGGUCUACAGAGUGAGCUCCAGGACAGCCAGGGCCACACAGAGAAACCCUGUCUCAAACAAACAAAAAGAAGAAAGAUUUAUUUAUUUUUAUGUGUGAUUGCUCUAACUGCACGUGCACCAUUGUGCCAGAAGAGGGCAUUAGAUCCUAUUAUAAAAUGGUUGUCAGCCACUAUGUGGUUGCUGGAAGUUGAACUCAGGACCUCUAGAAAAGCAGCCAGGCUCUUAACCACUGAGCCAUCUCUCCAGCCCCAAUUUUGAAAUUCUUUUUUUAAUGAAAGCUUCUUUUAAAAUAGUUACUUAUUCCAUAUGGUGGCACAUACCUUUAAUCCAGCACUUGGGAGGCAAAGGUAGGUGGAUCUCUGUGAGAUUGAGAUCACCCUGGUCUACAGAGAGAAUUCAGGACAGCCUGGGCUACACAGAGAAAAACCCUGUCUCCAAACACACACACACACACACACACACACACACACACACACACACACAACCAGUUACUUGUUUUUCUGUGUAUGUUUACAUGGGGUGGGAGCACAGACAAGCACAGUAGCAGGCUGAAGGUCAGAAGACUGUAGGAGUUGAUUCCCUCCUUGUACUUUUUGGGUCCCGGGGCUAAACUCAAUGAUUGUAGGCAAUUUUACUCUCAGAGCCAUUUCAGGGGCCCUCAUGAAUUCUUUCAUUUGAAAUAGAGCCUCACUGAGUAUCCCUGGCUGGCCUUUAAUUUCCUAGACCAGCAUGGCCUCAGAUUUUUAGUGACCUUUCUGUCCCAGACCCCCAAGUACUGAGAUUACUGGCAAGUUACAAAAAAGAAACACUGG